GAUUCUGGUUUUAGGCAAUAGGCCACUGGUCGCACCGUCUCUUGGUGGUAAUGGGGGUAGAUGAAGCAGCGAUGAAAAAAAAAAUGUUGGGCGGAACAGAGGGCGGGGCUUAGGACGAUGAAGCA
Caenorhabditis elegans is the source of this 125-nucleotide non-coding RNA. The record is from Ensembl. NCBI's taxonomy places the organism in Eukaryota, Metazoa, Nematoda, Chromadorea, Rhabditida, Rhabditidae.